RNAcentral lists this ribosomal RNA (185 nucleotides) under uncultured Bacteroidota bacterium. RNAcentral describes it as "uncultured Bacteroidetes bacterium partial 16S ribosomal RNA". It matches the Rfam family "Bacterial small subunit ribosomal RNA", at positions 121 to 306 of the family's 1533-position model. The record is from RNAcentral. Lineage: Bacteria; Pseudomonadati; Bacteroidota.
GCAAUCUACCUUUUACAGGGGGAUAGCCCAGAGAAAUUUGGAUUAAUACCCCAUAGCAUUAUGGAAUGGCAUCAUUCUAUAAUUAAAGUCACAACGGUGAAAGAUGAGCAUGCGUCCCAUUAGCUAGUUGGUAAGGUAACGGCUUACCAAGGCUACGAUGGGUAGGGGUCCUGAGAGGGAGAUCC